UCGGUGACAUAAAACCAUUAACAACUAAAAAAAAUUGGACCUACAAGCAGAAGCCAUAAUCACUUUGGCAUCAACAGAAUCAAACCCAUCCAUAAUCUUUAUUCACUGAAAAAAACCACUACAUUACUAUCAUCCUAGUAUAGCCUACAAACUUCAACAGCUGAUUAGAUUAACUUAGAGCAGCGACUAAAAACAUAGUAAAUCACUAUACUUAGCUCUAAAUCUUACCUACUAACCCAUGCUAUCUUGGAUGUUUCAUCCCUGGCAGAUUAAACAAACAUAAUAUUGCAUGUUAAUCACUGGCCUAUUGACUGAUUCUAGCUAAGCUCAAAUGCUGCUAUUAAUUAUGUCAUCAGUAUUCACAUCUAACAUCCUGCAAAUAAGGAGAUCUUCUGAAUUGUCAAGUUAUGUAAUGAGAAUGCAGUGGGGGGUUUUUUACUUGUGGGUGAGGUGCAAUUGAAUACGCAAGAAAAAAAAGAAAGAAAGAAAAGAACCAAAGCGGUACUGUCACAUAAAAUCAAUCAUCUCUGGAUGUAGACCCAAAUGUGUGGAUGCGAGAACUUAAGAGUUACAGAUGUAAGAAGUGAUGUUAUUAUUGAUUUUUAUACAUCGACCAUGUCACCACAAAUUUUUAGAAAUUUGCAUGCAGCAGUCAUUCCUUGAAGCCCUCAGGCAUUCGUUUUAGCUAAAUUAAAUGACUGAGAGUCUGUUACAGUCCUUUUAUAUUUGGACACUAGCACUCAGACAAGGGGAUCCACUCAGCAGAUCAUCUGAGAACUGCAGUAAUUAUGGGCAUGGCCAGUUUUCCAUAUGAGAGAGCUUGCUGCUGAAAGUUUCAAACUCAGACACCACUGCAGCUGGGUGUCUGGGACCAAAAGCCUCCUAAAAACAUGUGGCAAAUCAAUUUUCCUGGGUUAGAAUGACUCUUUGUACCAAACGAUAUUGCAUUAAAGCAAACACGAUGUCUAAAUUAGCACAGCAGAGCUGGGAAACUAUAGCAGCUAAAACUUUUUUCAGACUGUGUGAGUUUUAUGUUCAUAUGCAUCUCACACAGGGUGAGUCUACGUUUUUGCACUUUGUUACCUCAUGCAGGGUGGAACCCACAUAACUGGAAACAAAAACACUGCACUGUGAACUUGCUUUCAGGCCUUUAUAUAGCAUUAGCAAUUUAUAGCUACUGCAUCAAACUGCAUCAGAAGACAUGGAGUUUUCUGUUUGUAAAGUAUACAGUCCCAAAUGACUGUGUUUCAAAUAAAUGCAGAGCACAACAGAAGGUUGUAAUGGAAAUUUUUUUCUGAUGUCUGUAUGCUGUUUUUAUCUGGAGGAAAAAUAAAUCUGCACCUCAAACUCCGCCCACACAACUUCAGUGAACAACGUCUAUGAAAGAUUAACUUUUAUCAAGAUAAAUGAGUUAUCAUCAUUUCCAUGUAGACGCUUUAUAUAAAAUGUAUAUCAACCAACACUAACUUAAUAGUAGGUCUCUUUAACUGCAUGAUAGUAAAAGGGAAGUAAUUUCUAAACAGCAUUAACCAAGUCACACGGCUUCCAGUUCAUUAUUUUAUAGAUGUUAUAUUUAUUUUUCACUGUUUCUGCGAGUCUGUUGGUUUUAUUAGUACUAGGGAUGUGGCCAAAAGGUCCUAUCACAAUCCUUUUUGGGUAGAAUCGAUCUCUAAAUGACAAUUCUCCCCACAGAUAGUUGAUCUGAACCAAUUAGAUGAUUAGUUGUGCUUCUGAUUGCCUGGAAACAGCCAAACUCUCAAAUCUCUGCAUCCUUUUCCUGUUGUAAUUUAAAUCUUAGCAUUAGUCUUCGUCUUCUUUUUUAUUUUUAUCUUGUGUUACAACUAGUCACGCCCAGUUCAUGUGAAGUAGGAAAGUUUGGACAGGGAAGUUAUUAAUUUGAUUUUUUUUUUUUUUAAUGGAGCAUUUGUUUUAUUUAUUUCACUUACUGUUAACCAGCUAGUUCCUUGUCCUGUUACAUGUCCAUGCCUGCGUGGUGGCGGUUAGUCCCUAUUGUGGCAGUUGCUGAUGUCAGUACUUGUCCAAUGAGUCUCAAGUCCUGUGGGUUAACCCUCCCCUGGUGAAUCCAAGUGGAACUGGUUCAUGUACUGAUACGCUAAGUUCACCAAGGCCUCAAAGCAAAAGGACUAUCAUCUCCGCCAGCUGCAGUUGAAGACAGAGGAAGUAGAGUCCAACCACAGAGCAAGAGACUCACAGGAGAUAGCUGAACUGCAUUGAUAGCAACUGAACUUUCACAUUAAGAUACGUAAAUAUAGCACCUUUUAAAUAUGUGACGCCAUUAUUCCUUUGAAAAUCUAUCAAGGAUGCAAACUAAUCCAUUGCUAAAUGCCACCUGAAUUUUAUGCCACUGAGAAGAAAGCAGCAGGAUCAACCUUUUAUUCUAGAAACAUACAGGAGGACUUUGCAUUACAUUUCUUUGUGUCCGAAAUGGUGUACGGAGUACUCAGAUCUUUAACUUGACCAAAGGUUAAUCUUACUUUCCUUGACACGCAACUGUACAGCGCAUAGAUAUUCAUACAUCAUCAUGAGGCAGCGCACUAGAACCAUUAAUGUUCUCUAUUCUUUUAAUCUGAACAAUAACUACUAAGUAAAGCUUUUGAAGUAAUGUAGCAGAUGAAAACAUGCAAUACUUCCAUCUGAACUGCAGCAGAAUCCCCAAGUUUCAGUACCUCAAAACUAUGACUAUGUAUGGUACUUGAGUUAACAGAAGUUACAUUUACUUUUUCACAACUGACCGUGACGCCAUAUGUCAUGCCAAGACUCGUGUUAUGUUAAAUACUCCCAGAUAAGUAUGCUGCAUUACAUAAGCAGGAGUGUUGUGAAAAGGUGUGAUCUGAUAUUCCCUCUACUAGAUCAUUUCUCUUGUGCGCCCUCUUUCUUUGUGAGAAAACAUGACCUACUUCACUUAUUUCAGCCUGGCUUAUUAUACCAGUACUUUUGUAACCACGAAGUUAAUGAGUACACACUGGAGGGGUUAAAUCUAUAGGAUUUACAGUA
This is a long non-coding RNA of Astatotilapia calliptera (eastern happy), 3015 nucleotides long. The record is from Ensembl. NCBI's taxonomy places the organism in Eukaryota, Metazoa, Chordata, Actinopteri, Cichliformes, Cichlidae.